This is a long non-coding RNA of Gorilla gorilla gorilla (western lowland gorilla), 745 nucleotides long. RefSeq lists it as uncharacterized. The transcript has 4 exons. NCBI's taxonomy places the organism in Eukaryota, Metazoa, Chordata, Mammalia, Primates, Hominidae. The record is from RefSeq and is a predicted model, not a curated record.
ACAAGGUUCAGGUUUACAGCAACGCUAUCUGUACUUGUGGAAGCAGGAGACAACUGUAAGGAGAAGAAACCUCGUUGGCUCUUUAAUUUGCUCUUGGAGGGAAAAUAUAGAGAACGCAGGAAAACACCCAGAUUGAAAUUUGGCUGCCCAAGCUGCAAAUACUUAGGAAACCAAACAACUGUAGGCCCUGAAGAAACGUGGCAUCAUCUCCUGUGUUACUGUGGAGCUUAUUUCAUCACUCAACUCUGUUGGUAUUAAGUGGUGAAUAAAGUAGACAAGAUACUAAUCCUUAUGGAGCUCUGUGUCUAGUGAACAUGAAAAAGAUAUAUGAAUGAAACAUGGUUAAGGAAAGACACGGUUAGAGGAGAACUGAAGGAAAGAUAGAAACCCAUGCGGCCAGGAGGAGUUGGGAUCUUUUCUGUUGUGUCUCAGAACUUCAGGGUUAAGACCCUUCCUGGGUGAUGGAUAAAGGAAGUCAUUGUCCAGAUGAAAGACUCAUGAACUUGGAGACAGGAAUGAAGCCAUUGAAGCAACUUGGACGUCGGGAAUUCACUGAAGACCAGACUAAAGAGGGGCUUGUUCUAAUAGAAAUUCAUCUAAAAAGUUGGAGAUUCUGUAGAAGAUCUGAUGAAGAGGGCCAAUCACUGAGGAAAAAUGGAUAGCAUCCUAAAACAGUGGGUAGUAAGGGAACCGGUAUGUCUGAUGUUUUAAAGGAAAGAGCAAUUAAAGAAAUCCUUACAGAUUC